AGUGGCAAACGGGUGAGUAUAAUGUGGGUAUCUGCCUUUUGGUUUGGAAUAGCAUGAGGAAACUUGUGCUAAUACCGAAUAAGCCCUCACAGGGAAAGUUUUAACGCCGAAAGAUGAGCCCGCACUUGAUUAGUUUGUUGGUGAGGUAAUGGCUCACCAAGACAAUUAUCAAUAGCUGGUCUGAGAGGACGAUCAGCCACAUUGGGACUGAGACACGGCCCAGACUCCUACGGGAGGCAGCAGUAAGGAAUCUUGCACAAUGGGGGAAACCCUGAUGCAGCGAUGCCGCGUGAGUGAAGAAGGCCCUUGGGUUGUAAAACUCUUUCGUCGGGGAAGAAAAUGACUGUACCCGAACAAGAAGGUCCGGCUAACUUCGUGCCAGCAGCCGCGGUAAUACGAAGGGACCUAGCGUAGUUCGGAAUUACUGGGCUUAAAGAGCUCGUAGGUGGUUAAAAUAGUUGAUGGUGAAAUCCCAAGGCUCAACCUUGGAACUGCCAUCAAAACUUUUUAGCUAGAGUGUGAUAGAGGAAAGUGGAAUUUCUAGUGUAGAGGUGAAAUUCGUAGAUAUUAGAAAGAACACCAAAUGCGAAGGCAACUUUCUGGGUCACUACUGACACUGAGGAGCGAAAGCAUGGGUAGCGAAGAGGAUUAGAUACCCUCGUAGUCCAUGCCGUAAACGAUGUGUGCUAGACGUUGGAAAUAUAUUUUUCAGUGUCGCAGCGAAAGCAUUAAGCACACCG
Molecule: ribosomal RNA, 740 nt
Filed under: uncultured Alphaproteobacteria bacterium
Lineage: Bacteria; Pseudomonadati; Pseudomonadota; Alphaproteobacteria
Description: bacterial SSU rRNA
Rfam family: Bacterial small subunit ribosomal RNA
Source: RNAcentral